AGAGUUUGAUCAUGGCUCAGGGUGAACGCUGGCGGCGCGCCUAAUGCAUGCAAGUCGAGCGUGCCCUGGUGGCUUCGGCCAUCAGGGAAAGCGGCAGACGGCUGAGUAACGCGUGAGUAACCUGCCCUCUGGUGGGGUAUAGCCGCGAGAAAUCGCGGUUAAUCCCGCAUAAGAUCUCCAGGCCUUGGUUUGGAGAUGAAAGCCUUCGGGCGCCGGAGGAGGGGCUCGCGUCCUAUCAGGUAGUUGGUGAGGUAACGGCCCACCAAGCCGAUGACGGGUAGCUGGUCUUAGAGGACGACCAGCCAGAGGGGGACUGAGACACGGCCCCCACUCCUACGGGAGGCAGCAGCAGGGAAUCUUGGGCAAUGGGCGAAAGCCUGACCCAGCGACGUCGCGUGGAGGAAGAAGGCCUUCGGGCUGUAAACUCCUUUUCCAAGGGAAGAGUAAGGACGGUACCUUGGGAAUAAGCUCCGGCUAACUACGUGCCAGCAGCCGCGGUAAUACGUAGGGAGCGAGCGUUACCCGGAAUCACUGGGCGUAAAGAGCGCGUAGGCGGCUGGGUAAGUCUCUUGUGAAAGCUCCCGGCUUAACUGGGAGAGGUCAAGGGAUACUACCUGACUAGAGGGCAGUAGAGGAAAGCGGAAUUCCCGGUGUAGCGGUGAAAUGCGUAGAUAUCAGGAGGAACACCAGUGGCGAAAGCGGCUUUCUGGGCUGUACCUGACGCUGAGGCGCGAGAGCGUGGGGAGCAAACUGGAUUAGAUACCCUCGUAGUCC
RNAcentral lists this ribosomal RNA (774 nucleotides) under uncultured soil bacterium. RNAcentral's name for it is "bacterial SSU rRNA". It matches the Rfam family "Bacterial small subunit ribosomal RNA", at positions 8 to 796 of the family's 1533-position model. The record is from RNAcentral.